RNAcentral lists this long non-coding RNA (469 nucleotides) under Equus caballus (horse). RNAcentral describes it as "lncRNA (ENSECAG00000055203.1)". The record is from RNAcentral. Lineage: Eukaryota; Metazoa; Chordata; Mammalia; Perissodactyla; Equidae.
CAAGGACGGGAUGAGUGUGGGCUGGUCUUUUUCAGCAAAAAGGCCCGGGGUUUGCUGGUUUGGAUCCCAGUUGUGGACAUGGCUCUGCUUAUCAAGCCAUGCUGUGGCAGCCGUCCCACAUAUAAACUGAAGAUGGUAUUUAAGAUGAGAGCCUCUGCCAUUUUGCCCAGCCAGAAGGACCUACAGUGAGUAGAGGAAACGUCUUCCUCCUCCAACAGCACCCUCCUCAGAAUAACACUGAAGAACUGGGCCGCCAACAAGGCAGUGACCGCUGCUAUGAUCAAGAAACUAGGGUAUCAGGAAGCCACUGUCCCACCUGUUGGCUCUGAGACCAAAGUGCCUCGGAUGUCGCCUAUGCUGGUAAAAUGAUGCAUCUUGAUAAGGUAAGAAGUGGAUCCUGGGAUGGUUUACUGCUGCAGCCGAAAACCAAAUCCCCACUACUGUUCUUGGCAGCAAAAGCAGAAGCACA